AUACGGAGGGUGCAAGCGUUAUUCGGAAUCACUGGGCGUAAAGGAUGCGUAGGCGGGUUGGCAAGUCAGAUGUGAAAUCCUACAGCUUAACUGUAGAACUGCAUUUGAAACUGCUAACCUAGAGUAUGGGAGGGGGAGAUGGAAUUAGUGGUGUAGGGGUAAAAUCCGUAGAUAUCACUAGGAAUACCGAAAGCGAAGGCGAUUUCCUGGAACAUAACUGACGCUAAGGCGUGAAAGCGUGGGGAGCAAACAGGAUUAGAAACCCUAGUAGUCC
RNAcentral lists this ribosomal RNA (274 nucleotides) under uncultured bacterium. RNAcentral describes it as "partial 16S ribosomal RNA". It matches the Rfam family "Bacterial small subunit ribosomal RNA", at positions 523 to 796 of the family's 1533-position model. The record is from RNAcentral.